UGAUCACCCCACACGAUGAUCUGCUAGUGCGAUAAUGUAAAGGUUUCAGCCAAUUUACCAGAGCGGACCACUUCUGAGGUCCGUAAAUUGGAGAGAUGUGAAUUUACUGCUUUAGGGCCGCAAUCUUGGCCUAAAGUAAUUCAGUAAAUAUUCAGAAGUUUCGACCGGCAAUCCACCAAGGGCAAAAUCGUCCAAUUUUUUCUACAGU
Molecule: long non-coding RNA, 208 nt
Filed under: Olea europaea (common olive)
Lineage: Eukaryota; Viridiplantae; Streptophyta; Magnoliopsida; Lamiales; Oleaceae
Description: long non-coding RNA (OEUR_LNC009973)
Source: RNAcentral